CCUACGGGUGGCUGCAGUGGGGAAUAUUGGACAAUGGGCGCAAGCCUGAUCCAGCCAUGCCGCGUGAGUGAUGAAGGCCCUAGGGUUGUAAAGCUCUUUCAACGGUGAAGAUAAUGACGGUAACCGUAGAAGAAGCCCCGGCUAACUUCGUGCCAGCAGCCGCGGUAAUACGAAGGGGGCUAGCGUUGUUCGGAUUUACUGGGCGUAAAGCGCACGUAGGCGGAUUGUUAAGUUAGGGGUGAAAUCCCAGGGCUCAACCCUGGAACUGCCUUUAAUACUGGCAAUCUCGAGUCCGGAAGAGGUGAGUGGAAUUCCGAGUGUAGAGGUGAAAUUCGUAGAUAUUCGGAGGAACACCAGUGGCGAAGGCGGCUCACUGGUCCGGUACUGACGCUGAGGUGCGAAAGCGUGGGGAGCAAACAGGAUUAGAUACCCUAGUAGUC
RNAcentral lists this ribosomal RNA (440 nucleotides) under uncultured Mesorhizobium sp. RNAcentral describes it as "bacterial SSU rRNA". It matches the Rfam family "Bacterial small subunit ribosomal RNA", at positions 338 to 795 of the family's 1533-position model. Lineage: Bacteria; Pseudomonadati; Pseudomonadota; Alphaproteobacteria; Hyphomicrobiales; Phyllobacteriaceae. The record is from RNAcentral.